This 10817-nucleotide long non-coding RNA is filed under the name Homo sapiens (human). RNAcentral describes it as "HSALNT0319922". Lineage: Eukaryota; Metazoa; Chordata; Mammalia; Primates; Hominidae. The record is from RNAcentral.
GUUUUAUCCCAUGCGGUUUCUCCAUAGUGAGUGUGUUCUCAUGAGAUAUGACAGUUUAAAAGUGUGUGGCAGUUCCCCCAUCUUGCUCUCUCUCCCGUCACCAGUUAUACACAAGAUGAAUGGAUUAACCACUGGAAGACCUGCACUACUACAAAUGUUAAAGAAAGUCCUUCCAAGAAAGAAAAAAGGCAACUUAAUGGAAACUUGUGUCUACCAAAUGGAAAGAAGAGCAAUGGGAAUCCUAACUACGAGUGUGAGAAAAAAAGUUGAAUGUGGUGAUGGGGAAAACACUGAAGUUCAAAAGAAGCGAAGACAAGAAGCUACUCAUGGCAGCAGCUUUUCCCAUAAAUCAAGAAAUGCUACAGAUUAUAAAUGAGAUGAGACUAUCAAGAAGAGACCUAAUAGGAGUGUGAAGACCAAAAAUUUAAAAGACGUGGUUAUAUACUUUGAGUAAACUCUAUAUAUAGGACAAUGUUAUUGUUUGGUUCUGUGUUCCUCACUCAAAUCUCACCUCAAAUUAUAAUCCCCAUGUGUCAAGGGCAGGACCAGGUGGAAGUAACUGGAUCAUGGGGGAAGUUUUCCUCAUGCUUUUCUCAUAGUAAGUGAGUUCUCAUAAGAUCUGAUUUUUUUAUAAGCAUAUGGCAUUUCCCCUCCUAGCAUUUUGCCUCCUGCUGCCUUGCAAAGACGGCAGUUGCUUCCCCUUUGCCUUCCGCCAUGACUGUAAGUUCCCUGAGUCCUCUCCAGCCAUGUGGAACUGUGGGUUAAUUAAAUCUCUUUCCUUAUAAAUUACCCAGUCUUGGGCAGUUCUUUAUAGCAGUGUGAAACUGGACUAAAAUAGAAAAUUGGUACCAGGAGAGUGAGGCACUGCUGUAAAGACAUCACUAUAAAGGCACCUGAAAAUGGAAGCAACUUUGGAACUAGCUAAUGGGCAGAGGUUGGAACCAUUUGCAGGGUUCAGAAGAAGACAUGAAGAUGUGGGAAAGUUUGGAAAUUCCUGGAGACUUGUUGAAUGCUUUGACGAAAAUGCUGAUACUGAUAUGGACAAUAAAUUUCAGGCUGAGAUGCUCUCAGAUACAAAUAAAGAACUUGUUGGGAACUGGAAUAAAGGUGACUAUUUGCUAUAUAUGCUUUAGCAAAGAGACUGGUGGCAUUUUGCCUCUGUCCUAGAGAUCUGUGGAGCUUUGAACAUGAGAAAGAUGAUUUAGAAUAUCUGGUGGAAGAAAUUUAUAUGCAGCAAAGUGUUCAAGAAGUGACUCGGGUGCUCUUAAAACCAUUCAGUUGUAUGCAUUCACAAAGAUAUGGUUUGGAAUUGGAACUUAUGUUUAAAAGGGAAGCAGAGAAUAAGAGUUCAGAAAAUUUGCAGCCUGAUGAUGCAAUAGAAAAGAAAAAUCUCAUUUUCUGGGGAGAAAUUCAAGCCUGCUGCAGAAAUUUGCGUAAGUAACAAGGAGACAAAUGUUAGUCACCAAGACAAUGGAGAAUAUGGCCUCAGUCAAUGUCGGAUGUCUUCACUGCAAGCCCUCCAAUCACAGGCCUGAAGGAUUGGAGAGAAAAAAUAAUUUUGUGGGCAAGGCCCAGGGACUUGCUGCUUUGUGCAGUCUCUGAACUUGGUGCCCUGCAUCCCAGCUGUGUCUAAUAGUGGCCAACAUACAGCUCAGGCCAUUGCUUUAGAGGGUGAAAGCCCCAAGCCAUGGUGUCUUACAUGUGGUUUUGGGCCUGCAGAUGCACAGAUGUCAAGAAUUGAGGUUUGAGAACCUCCACCUAGAUUUCAGAGGAUGUAUGGAAACUCUUGGAUGUCCAGGCAGAAGAGUACUACAGGGGCAGAGCUCUCCAUGGAGAACAUCUGCUAGGGCAGUGCAGAGUCCCCACUGGGGCGCUGACUAGUGGAGCUGUGAGAAGAAGGCCACCAACCUCCAGACCCCAGAAUGGUAGAUCCACCAACAUCUUGCAUCGUACACCUAGAAAAGUCACAGACGCUCAACAACACCUCAUGAAAGUAGCCAGGAGAGGCGCUGUAUCCUGCAAAGCCACAGAGGCAGAGCUGCCCAAGGCUGUGGUAUCCCACCUCCUACAUCAGUGUGAUUGGAUGUGAGACAUGUAGUCAAAUGAGGUCAUUUUGGAACUUUUAAGACUUAAUGACUGCUUUAUUGUAUUUUGGACUUGCAUGAGGCUUGUAGCCCCUUUGUUUUAGCCAGUUUAUCUCAUUUGGAAUGGGACUAUUUAUCCAAAGCCUGUACCCCAUUGUAUCUAGGAAGUAACUGACUUGCUUUGGAUUUUACAAGCUCAUAGGCAGAAGGGACUUCCCUUGUCUCAGAUGAGACUUUGGACUGUGGCCUUUUGAGUUAAUGUUAAAAUGAGUUAAGACUUUGAGGAACUGUUGGGGAGGCAUGAUUAGUUUUGAAAUGUAAAAAGACAUGAGAUUUGGGAGGGGCCAAGGACAGAAUAAUACGGUUUGGCUCUGUGUCCCCUUCCAAAUUUCACCUUUAAUUGUAAUCGCCAUAACCCCCACAUGUCAAUGGUGGAAACAGGUAGAGGUAAUUGGAUCGUGGAGGCAGUUUCUUCUAUGCUGUUAUUCAUGAUAGCGAAUGAGUUUUCAUGAGAUCUGAUGGUUUUAUAAGCAUCUGGCAUUUCUUCUGCUUGCACUUCUCAUUCCUGCCACCUUGUGAAGAAGGUGCUUUUCUUCCCAUUUGCGUUCAACCAUUAUUAUAAGUUUCCAGAGGCAAACCCAGCCACACAGAAGUGUGAGUCAAUUAAACCUCUUUUUUAAUAAAUUACCACUCUCAAACAGUUCUUUAUGGCAGUAUGAAGACAGACUAACACAGAAAGAUAUAGCUGUUUUGGAAACAUCAGAAGUACAGUUGUAGCAAUAAAUAAAAUAUGAAUAGAUUAACUUUCGUACACCUAUUUGUGUUGAAAGCACCAGGAGUCAUAGCCAACAAUCACUUUAAUAUUUCUCCAGCUAAUUCUUCUGAUUUAUUUUUAUGUUUGGUUAGCCAGUGACUUCCCCACUAGCUAAAAAAUAUUUUUAAAAGUAUGUAUGUGUUAAUAUAUCUUGACUACUUUUUAAUUUUCCAAUUAAAAAAUAAAUCACACUUUAAUCUCUGUGUCUUGAUUUUUCUCAUUUAAGAAGAGCUCAUUGACUUAGGGGCUACAUACUAUAUGACAAGUUACAUAAAUCACAAUUUUCUUAAAUAUUUCCCUAUUGAUGGUUACUCAGUUUUAUUUUUUUUAUUUUUGCCAUUAGUAACAGUGAAGAAAUUAAUGAUCUUGCAUUUAAAUUUUAAGUACAGGUGAUUGGCUUCUUUUUACAACAUUAAAGAGUUGUAAUUGACAUACAAUAAACUGUAAUUAUAUAGUAGGCAGCUUGCUAAGUAUUGACAUAUGUAUUUACACAUCAAAACAUUACCACUAUUAAGAUAGUCAAACAUCCAUUAUCUCUAAAAGUUUUCACAUGUUACUCUGUAAUUAUUCCUGUCUGACCCUCCCACUGUCCAAAGGUAAUCAAUAACCUGCUUUCUGUCCCUAAAACUCAGUUUGCUAUUUCUAGAAUUUUCUAUAACCAGGAUAAAUUUUUUAAAGAUCUUAUUUUUUUCACUCAAUAGUUAUUUUGGGUGCAUACAUAUUUUUUAGGAUAUCAAUAGUUUGUUUUUAUUGCUAAGGUAUUAUUUUAUUUAUGAAUAUCCCACAAUUUAUUUAUUUAUCCAAAUGUUGAUGGACAUUUGGUUGUUUUGAGUUUGAAACUAUUAUAAAUAAAGCUGCUAUAAUCAUUGGUUUUCUAUUCUUUGUAUAACAUAUAUUGUUGUGGUUGAGGGGUGCAGAUAUCUAGAAAUGAAAUAGCUCGAUUGAUGGUAAGUAUAUAUUUAAUAUUUUAAGGUUCUGUUAAACUGUUUUCCAAAGUAUUUGCGUUAUUUUUCAUUCCCACUAACAGUGCCUGAGGAUUCCAGUUUUUCUACGUGCUUACAAACACUCGAUGUGGUCAGUGUUUUUAAGUUUAGCCUCUCUGAUAGGAGAGUGGCUUUAAUUUGCAUUUCACUCUUAACUAUUGAUGUCAAGCAGAUUUCUGUGUGCCGAUUUGCCAUCUGUAUGUCUUUGGAGAAGUGUCUGUUAACUAUUUUACCAUUUAAUAAAAACUAUGUUGCUUUCUUAUUACUAAGAUUUGGCAGUUAUUUAUAUAUUCUGGAUCCAAGAUCUUUAUGAGAUAUAUGAUAUACAAAUAUGUUCUCCAAGGCUAUGAUUUGCCUUUUAUUUACGUAAUAGUGCCUUGUGAAUAUCAGAAGUCACUUUUGAUGAAGUCUAGUUUACCAAUUUUGUACACUCUGAGAAUUUCAAUGUUUUGCUUUCAUUUUGCUUCAAUCCUAGAUUCUAAUUUCUAUGUAAUUUUCUUUUUUACUCAUGAAUGAAAGUGUGUUUUUUAUGUCAUUUAGAAGAGUUUUAUUCAGUUCCUUUAUAUACUUCUAUUUAUUUUCCAUAUACUUGGGAAUUUUCCAGAGAUAUUUCUGUUACUUUUUUCUAGUUUCUAAUAUCGUUUCUAAUUUCAUCACACUGUGAUCAGAAAACACGUUUUAUGAUUUGAAUCCUUUUAUGUGUAUUGAUAUUUAUUUUAUGGUUUGUAUUAUGGUAAAUAUUCUGUGCACGCAUGGAAAUAAUUUAUAGUCUGUUGUUGUUGUAUGGUAUCUUCUAUAAAGUCAAUUAGGACAAGUUGCUUGAUAGUGUUUUUCAAGUCUUCUUGAUUCCUGUUUACUUGUUCUAUGUAUAAUUGAGAGAAGGUGAUAUGCUUUGGAUUUGUGUUCCUGACCAAAUCUCAUGUCAAAUUGGAGGAGGGGCCUGGUGGGAGGUGAUUAGAUCAUGUGUGUGAAUUUCCUCCUUGUUGUUCUCAUGACAGUGAGUGAGUUCUCAAUGAGAUCUGAUGGUUUAAAAGUGUGUGGCCUUCCCCCUUCUCCUUCUCUCUCCUGCUUUGCCAUGAUAAGAUGUGCUUUCUUCCCCUUCUGCCAUUAUUAUAAGUUUCCUGAUGCCUCUCAGUCAUGCUUCCUGUUAAGCCUGUGGAACUGAAUCAAUUAAGCCUCUUUUCUUUAUAAAUUACCCAGUCUCAUGUAGCUCAUUAUAGCAGUGUGAGAAUGGACUAAUACAGAAAAUUACCAGGAAAGUGGGGAAUUGCUAUCAAGAUAUCUGAAAUGUGGAAGUGACUUUGGAACUGGCUAAUGGGCAGAGAUUGGAACAGUUUGGAGGGCUCAGAAGAAAACAUAAAGAUAAAGGAAAGUUUGUCACUUCCUAGAGACUUGUUGAAUGGCUUUGGCCAAAAUGUUGAUAGUGAUAUGGACAAUGAAGUCCUGGCUGAGGUGGUCUCAGAUGGAGAUGAGAAACUUACAGGAAAUUGGAAUAAAGGUGACUGUUGCUAUGCUUUAGCAAAGAUACUGGUGGCAGUUUGCCCUGCUCUGGAGAUCUAUGGAACUUUGAACUUGAGAAAGAUGAUUUAAGGCAUCUGGCAGAAGAAAUUUCUGAGCAGCAAGGCAUUCAAGAGGUGAACUGGCUGUUCUGAGCAUGUACACAUACUCGUACGUUUGAACAAAGAGAUAAUCAGAAACUGGAACUUAUAUUUAAAAGGAAAGCAAAGCAUAAAAGUUUGGAAUAUUUAUAGCCCGGCUAUAUGGUAGAAAAGAAAAACCCAUUUUUCUGAGGAAAAACUUAAGCCUGCUGCAGAAAUUUUCAUAAGUAAAGAGGAGGUAAAUGUUAAUAGACAAGACAAUGGGGAAAAUGUCUGCAGGGCAUGUGAGAGACCUUCAUGGCAGCACCUCUCAUCACAGGCCAGGAGGUCUAGGAAGAAAAAUGGUUUUGUGGGCCAGGUUCAGGGCCCCCACUACUCUGUGCAGCCUUUGGACAUGGUGUCCUUCAUUCCAGUCACUGCAGUUCCAUCUGGGACUAAAAGGGUUCACGGUACAGCUCAGGCCAUUGCUUCAAAGGGUACAGUCCCUAAGCCUUUGUAGCUUCCAUGUGGUGUUGGAACUGCAAGUGUGCAGAAGGCAAGAGUUGAGGUUUGGGAGCCCCUGCCUGGAUUUUAGAGGAUGGAAAUGCCUGGGUGUCCAGGCAGAAGUGUGCUGCAGGGGCAGAAGUCUCAUGGAGAACCUCUACUGUGGAAGUACAGAAGGGAAAUGUGCGGUUGUAGCACCCACACAAAGUCUCCAUUGAAGCACUGCCUAGUGGAGCUGUGAGAAGAGGGCCAUUAUUCUUCAGACACCAGAAUGAUAGAUUCACUUACAGCUUGCACUGGCACCUAGAAAAGCCACAGACACUCAACACCAGCUUAUGAAAACAGCUGGGGGAGGAGAGCUGUACCCUGCAGAACCACAGGGGUGGAGCUGCCCAAGGCCUUGGUAGCACACCCCUUGCAUCAGCCUGCCGUGGAUGUGAGACAUGGAGUAAAAUGAGAUUAUUUUGGAGCUUUAAGAUUUAAUGACUGACCUGCUGUGUUGUGGCCUGGCAUGAGGCCUGUGGCUUUGUUUGGCCAAUUUCUCCUAACUGGAAUGAGAACAUUUACCCAAUGCCUGUACACCCAUUGUAUCUUGAAAGUAAUUACCUUUUUCCCCCUGCUUUUUUUCAGUGUCAUAGGCAGAAAGGACUUUCCUUGUCUCAGAUAAGACUUUGCACUCAGACUUUUGGGUUAAUGCUGAAAUGAGUUGAGACUUGGGGACUGCUGAGAAGUGGUCAUUGUGUUUUGCAAUGUGAGAAGGACAUGAGAUUUGGGAGGGGCCAAUAUAGAGAACAUAGUCCAUGAAAAUAUAGUCCAUAAAAAUUUCCUUAAUCUCACUAGAGAGGUUGACAUACAAAUUCAAGAAAUACAGAGAAGACUGGUGAUAUGAUUUGGAUUUGUUUCCCCACCCAAAUCUCAUGUUUAAUUGAAGGAGGGGCGUGGUGGGAGGGGAUUAGAUCACAAGUGAGGAUUUCUUCCUUGCUGUCCUUAUGAGAGCAAGUGAAUUCUCACAAGAUCUGAUGGUUUCAAAGUGUGUAGCACUUCCCUUUUCACUCUUUCUCUCCUGCUCUGCCAUGGUAAGACCAGUUUCCUUCCACUUCCCCUUCUGCCAUUAUUGCAUGUUUUGCAUGUUUCCUGAGGCCUCCCAGUUGACCUGUGAGUCAAUUAAAUGUCUUUUCUUUGUAAGUUACCCAGUCUCAGGUAGUUCUUUAUAGCAGUGUGAAAAUGCUAAUACGAAGGGUAUUGAAAUCUCUAACUCCAACUUUUACAGAUUUACUGUUUCUCCUCAUAGUUUUGUAGAGUUUUGCUUCAUUUAUUUUGAAGAUUUGUUAUUAUGGGCAUAAACAUUUAUGAUGAUUGCAUCCUCUUAAUGAGUUGACCCUUUUAUAAUUAUGCAAUGAACUUCUGUAUUCCUAGUGAUAUUUCUCUCUAAAAUCUACUGUAUCUCAUAUUAAUCUAGCAAUUUCCAAUUUUAGUUAACUUUAUCAUUGUAAAUCUUUAACCAAGAUUUUACUUCAAAUUUAUUUGUGUUUUUAUAUUUAAAGAGUGUUUUAAUAGGCAACAUAUAGUUUGGAUAUUGCCAGUUGGGAUUUUUGACUAUGUACACUUUGUAUAUUAUUCCUAUUAUGAUUAAAUCUAUUUAAUUUUAAUUUUACUCAUAUGUGCUUUUUACAAAUUUAUUCUCUCCUUUUAUGAGUCAAUUGAAUAUGUUGUUAGUAUUUUUAAACGUUUUCACAGUCUUAUUUGUUAUAAUCCAUGUUAUAUUAAUUGUUAGUUUACAGUUGGAAAAUAUGCAUCUUUAACUUUUCUCAGUCUAAAGUAAGUGAUACUGUACCUUAUAAUUCUAUGCUUUCAUGCUUCCUCUCCCAUGUGUGUAAUAAAUCCCACGCUAUAUAGUGACUAUUUUUUAACUGAUUAAUUAUAUGUUAAACAGAUUUGAAUAAUUGAUAAAAAGCAUAUAAAGGUUUCUAUGUACUUACUGUUUCCAAUAUUCUUUCUUUCUUUGUUCAGAUUUAUAUUUCCAUUUGUAUCAUUUUUCUUCUAAAAAAUUUCUUAAAAUAUUUCUUGUACAGUAGGUCUGUUGGAAUCAAAGUACAGGUGGUUUUGAUGGAAACAAUUGGAAAUGAUCCCUAGAGCUUGUAUUGUUAAUUUUAAAAACACAUGCAUUAUUUUAAUAUUUCAUUGUAACUAUGUAACAUACAUAGAUUAAAAGAAAACAAUACAUAGAUGCAGAGAUUGGUAAAUUUUCACAAAGUAAACAUUCCUGAGUAAUUAUCACACAGAUCAAGAAAAAGAACAUUUAAAGUAAUUCAGAGGGCUCCCCAUGUGUCUUAAAUCAUCAAAUUCCACAAGUGUAACAAUAUCUAGACAUCUAACAUCAUAGUUUAGUUAUGCAUAUUUUAAAAACAUUAUAAAUGUAGACUCAUACAGUUAAUGCACAUCUGUGUUUGGUUAUGUUUGUGAGAUUUGUGUAUGAUUUCCGCUGAGGAGAUUGACUCAUAUUUAUUUUACCAUUGUAUCAUGUUCAUUUUCAUUAAUGUCUAUUAUUCAAGGAUAUAAUUAUGGCAAAGUUGAUUUAUCUGUAAACUAUAGAUAAGCAUUUGGAUGCUUACAGUUUUUCUGAUAUACAAUAGUGCUAACAUAAACUUUAGUUUUUAUGUUGUUCAAUUAACAUAGUAACAUGCUUUUAGUUUAGCACGUACCAAGGAGGGAAAUUCCGGGGCCGUGUGUGCUUGUAUGGCUAAUUUUUAUAGAUACUGUAUUGGCACUUCCUCAAUCUAGUUGAUCCAAUUUACUCUUUCAAAAGUAAGUGUUCUAAUUUCUGCAAAUCUUCAAGAAGACUUACCAUUGUAUAUUUAUUUUUCUGUUAGCCAGUCUAAUAAAUGCAUGCUAAUAUCUCAAUGUUUUUUAGCUUGCAUGAAAUAAGAAAUUGGAUAUCUUCUCCUUGUGAAGUGUCUGUUCAAGUAUUCUGCUCAUUCAUUACUUAUUUCAUUAUUAGUUUGUACAUUAUUUAGUAUUUAAAUUUUUUCAAAUAUUGUUAUUACAAAUAUGAUUAACUCAUUAUUUGGUUUUCAUUUAGUCAAGUGUGGUUUGGUAAGUGGAAACUCAUAAUGCGUAUGUACUAAUGGUCAUAAUUUUUCUCUUUAUUUAGUGUAUCUUGGAUACUUCCAAAGGACUACGUAUGUAUGCCAAGUUUUAGGGCUGUUUUUCAGGUUUACAUCUAGAAACUUAAGUUUUUAUUAUUUAUACUUCAAUAUUUAAUCAAUCAGAACUUUUGUGCAAAAUGAAAGAAUAUCUAUUAUUUUAUAUAUUAAUAUACAAAUGACCAUUUAUUAAAAAUAGAAUCCCACACAAUUUAUUAAAAAAUUAGCAAUAUCACACUGCAAUGAGUUUUGCCAUGUGAUAAAUCAGUUAGUAAUUAAUGAAUGUAUCUGUUGUUGGAAUGUGAUAUCUACCAUUGGACAAUCCGUUGACAAACAGCACUUUGUAGUAAUUAUAACGUUAUAAUAUGAAUGUAUGUAUGUAGCUCAAAUUUUACAUACACCUGAGAGUAGAAUGUUGGCUUUUUUGUUUGACACAUAUAUCCUUCUAAGUAUUGUCAUAUGGCAGAAACUUAUAUAAAUUAACAUAUAUAAUUUAGUCUGUUGUCUAGACUGAAUUUUUUAAGGGUUUUUUUUUCUUACUUUUCAGACUUAUUUUUCUCUCUUCUUGCAUCUAUAAACAUUGUUAUUUGACUCAUACAGUUAAUGCACAUCUGCUUUUGGUUAUGUUUAUGAGAUGUGUGUGAUUUCUGCUGAGGAGACUCACUCAUACUUAUUGUACCGUUAUAUCAUAUUCACUUUCAUUGAUGUAUAUUAUUCAAAAAUAUGAUUAUGGCUAAGUUUAUUUAUAUGUAAACUGUAGAUAAGGAUUUGGGUGCUUCCAGUUUUUCUGAUAUACAGUAGUGCUACCAUAAACUUUUUCAUUGUCUAUAUAUUAUAUAUAUAUAAUUGUAGAGUCUAAAUGGUAGUUUCUUCUUUUAGAGAGUGUUAACCUUUUUGUUUGUUAAGUAGCUAGACCCUUAUUGCUUUAUAAAAAUCAGAAAUAGAAAUACGUCAUUUGGAUUAUAGUUUGAAAAAUACUCUCUUAAUUCAGGUUUACAUACAUACAUCAUCUUUAUGUUAUCUUAUGUAUAAAAUUGUAUAUUUAAAAUGAUAUCCUCUUUUCUGGGCUCCGUUAGCAAUUAUUUUUCUGUCUGCAUUGUCUUCUCAUUCCCACAAGCUUGAUAAUACAUUCAGUCUAGUUUCACUGGUUUUGCCUUAGCUUCUAACCUUCUUGUCUUCACAAUUUAGCAGAUUUAUUCAGGAGAAAGCGAUCAUGGAUUUAGCACCUAUGCAAUGAUAAUUCUUUUUUUACUGUGACACUACAAUAUAACCAAAAGUUUUGUCAGUUUGACUGUCCUUCAGUAGCGACCCUGUGGCAAAGGGUGAAGAACACAAUUUUUAAUCUCAUGUGUUUUCUGAGAUUUGAGAAAUUCCCAUGAAAAUAAAUGGCUGAAAAAAAUUUAGAAUACUUCUUUUUGAUUCUCCCCUAUGCAAACUCUUUGCCCUUCUACUUCUCACUGCUUCAAUAGUUCUCUUAUUUCUCUGAAAAUAGGAUAGAUAAACAUGUUAUGCAACUUUCUUGUUGUUCUCAGCAGUAAUAUUAGAAUACUACAAGCUAUUAUAGCCUAACACAUUUUUUAUUGCUGACAGAUUUACUCACUGAUGAUAGCAUUUGAAGUAUAUAUAUAUAUACUUAUAUAUAUAUAUAAAAGUUAUAUUUUCUCUAGCGCGAUUUAAUAUUGUCAGUUUUACUGCAUCACCAUUAGCACAGG